Long non-coding RNA from Eriocheir sinensis (Chinese mitten crab), 1225 nucleotides. RefSeq lists it as uncharacterized. The transcript is spliced from 3 exons. The record is from RefSeq and is a predicted model, not a curated record. Lineage: Eukaryota; Metazoa; Arthropoda; Malacostraca; Decapoda; Varunidae.
CUCGCCUCGGCGGGGGUGUGGAGCGCCAGCGAGCCCAAGGUCUCCCUGGCGAGCAUGGCAGGACUGGAGGGCUCCAGGCAGGGCUCCUCGGCGUCCCUCGGGGCCCCGACGGAGGUGCCGGAGAUCUUCCGGCUACAAACCCGGGCAGGUGGAGCUCGUUAGCCGUGGUAGGCAAUCUGCCUAGGAGAGCAAACUCUAUACAAACCCGGGCAGGUGAGGCUCGUUAGCCGUGGGAGGCAAUUCACCUAGGAGAGCAAACUCUAUACAAACCCGGGCAGGUGGAGGUCGUUAGCCGUGGUAGGCAGUUCACCUAGGAGAGCAAACUCCGAACAAUAAACCCGGGCAGGUGGAGGUCGUUAGCCGUGGUAGGCAGUUCACCUAGGAGAGCAAACUCUAAACAAACCCGGGCAGGUGGAGGUCGUUAGCCAUGGGAGGUAAUUCACCUAGGAGAGCAAACUCUAAACAAACCCGGGCAGGUGAGGCUCGUUAGCCGUGGUAGGCAGUUCACCUAGGAGAGCAAACUCUAAACAAACCCGGGCAGGUUGGGCUCGUUAGCCGUGGUAGGCAGUUCACCUAGGAGAGCAAACUCCGAACAACAAACCCGGGCAGGUGGAGCUCGUUAGCGUGAGCAGUUCACCUAGGAGAGCAAACUCCGAGCAAAAAACCCGGGCAGGUGGAGCUCGUUAGCGUGAGCAUUUCACCUAGGAGAGCAAACUCCGAACAAUAAACCCGGCCAGGUGGAGGUCGUCAGCCGUGGUAGGCAAUCUGCCUAGGAGAGCAAACUCCGAACAAUAAACCCGGCCAGGUGGAGGUCGUCAGCCAUGGUAGGCAAUCUGCCUAGGAGAGCAAACUCCGAACAAUAAACCCGGCCAGGUGGAGGUCGUCAGCCGUGGUAGGCAAUCUGCCUAGGAGAGCAAACUCCGAACAAUAAACCCGGCCAGGUGGAGGUCGUCAGCCGUGGCAGGCAAUCUGCCUAGGAGAGCAAACUCUAAACAAACCCGGGCUUGUGGUACUCGUUAUACUGUCGUAGACAAUCUACGCGAUGGGAACACCAAAGAAAAGAAAAAUAAAAAGGAACACCAGAAAAAUGGAAAAUACAGAAACGAAACGUCAAGAAAAGAAACAAAAAGAUCAUCCACCUUUAGGCCCUAACAUCGCCAAAAUUAUGGAUGGGUCUCUUCUGGGGAGAAAGCGGCUCACCCAGACCAAAGAACAUCAACCAAAG